UUUUAUCUGGGUUGCUAACUCAAUGGUAGAGUACUCGGCCGGGUUC
This 46-nucleotide transfer RNA is filed under the name Bromus tectorum (cheatgrass). Its description in RNAcentral is "partial tRNA-Lys". Lineage: Eukaryota; Viridiplantae; Streptophyta; Magnoliopsida; Poales; Poaceae. The record is from RNAcentral.